RNAcentral lists this ribosomal RNA (525 nucleotides) under Triticum aestivum (bread wheat). RNAcentral describes it as "partial small subunit ribosomal RNA". Lineage: Eukaryota; Viridiplantae; Streptophyta; Magnoliopsida; Poales; Poaceae. The record is from RNAcentral.
AUGGAGAUAAGAAGGGCAAUAGAAGAAGCAAGCAUUCCACACACCUAUGUUUCCGCUAACUGCUUUGCUGCUUUCUUUGUUCCUAACCUCUCUCAAAUGCGCACCCUUCUCCCGCCCAAAGAGAAAGUUCACGUGUACGGAGAUGGCAACGUCAAAGUGAUAUUCAUGGACGAAGAUGACGUCGCAACAUACACCAUCAAGUCCAUUGAUGAUCCUAGGGCCUUGAACAAGACAAUAUACCUAAGGCCGCCGGAAAACAUCCUUAGUCAAAAUGAGCUGAUUGCCAAAUGGGAAAAGCUCUCAGGAGAAGUCCUUGAGAGAAUUCCCAUUCCGUCUGAUGAAUUCUUGGCGUCAAUGGAAGGUACGGACAUUACAAAUCAGAUGGCGGUGGGGCACUUCCACCACAUUUUCUAUGAGGGUUGCUCAACAAACUUUGAUAUAGGGGAGGAUGGAGAGGAAGCUUCACUACUCUACCCGGAGGUUCGCUGCACCAGGAUGGAGGACUACAUGAAACGUUAUUUGUAA